This 397-nucleotide ribosomal RNA is filed under the name Cryptosporidium felis. Its description in RNAcentral is "partial small subunit ribosomal RNA". It matches the Rfam family "Eukaryotic small subunit ribosomal RNA", at positions 397 to 800 of the family's 1831-position model. The record is from RNAcentral. Lineage: Eukaryota; Apicomplexa; Conoidasida; Eucoccidiorida; Cryptosporidiidae.
UGAGAAACGGCUACCACAUCUAAGGAAGGCAGCAGGCGCGCAAAUUACCCAAUCCUAAUACAGGGAGGUAGUGACAAGAAAUAACAAUACAGGACUUUUUACGGUUUUGUAAUUGGAAUGAGUUAAGUAUAAACCCCUUUACAAGUAUCAAUUGGAGGGCAAGUCUGGUGCCAGCAGCCGCGGUAAUUCCAGCUCCAAUAGCGUAUAUUAAAGUUGUUGCAGUUAAAAAGCUCGUAGUUGGAUUUCUGUUAAUACCUUAUAUAUAAUAUUUUUUUUUUAAAUAUUAAUAUGUAAGAUUAACAUANUUCAUAUUUUUAAGACUGAAUUUUUAGUUUUGAUAAUAUGAAAUUUUACUUUGAGAAAAUUAGAGUGCUUAAAGCAGGCUUUUGCCUUGAAU